Molecule: non-coding RNA, 82 nt
Organism: Protopterus annectens (West African lungfish)
Lineage: Eukaryota; Metazoa; Chordata; Ceratodontiformes; Protopteridae
Source: the annotation of a RefSeq genome assembly
GUAAUCGUGACCGAGUGGUUAAGGUGAUGGACUAGAAAUCCAUUGGGGUUUACGUGCACAGAUUUGAAUCCUGUCGAUUACA